GACGAACGCUGGCGGCGUGCCUAAUACAUGCAAGUCGAGCGGACGGAUGGGAGCUUGCUCCCAGACCGUCAGCGGCGGACGGGUGAGUAACCCUUGGGCACCUUCCCUUUACUUUUGGGUAAAUUCCGGGAACUCGGGGCUAUUACCGGUAAACUCUUCUCCUCCCUUGUGGGAAUGGUGAAAUAUCGCAUCUUGCUAUUACUCACACAGCGUCCCGCGGUGCAUUAGCUAGUUGGUGUGGUAACGGCUCACCAAGGCGGCGAUGCGUAGCCGACCGGAGGGGGUGAUCGCCGACACGGGAAGUGAACCGCGGCCAAGACGCCUACGGGAGGCAGCAGUAGGGAAUCUGCCGCAGUGGACGAAAGUCUGACGGAGCAACGCCGCGUGAGUGAUGAAGGUUUUCGGAUCGUAAAACUCUGUUGUCAGGGAAGAACAAGUACCGGAGUAACUGCCGGUACCUUGACGGUACCUGGCCAGAAAGCCACGGCUAACUACGUG
Molecule: ribosomal RNA, 498 nt
Filed under: uncultured bacterium
Lineage: Bacteria
Description: partial 16S ribosomal RNA
Rfam family: Bacterial small subunit ribosomal RNA
Source: RNAcentral